Molecule: ribosomal RNA, 253 nt
Filed under: uncultured bacterium
Lineage: Bacteria
Description: partial 16S ribosomal RNA
Rfam family: Bacterial small subunit ribosomal RNA
Source: RNAcentral
GACAGAGGUGCCAAGCGUUAGGCGGAAUCACUGGGCUUAAAGCGUGUGUAGGCGGAUUUGUAAGUACCUUGUGAAAUCCCACGGCUCAACCGUGGAACUGCUCGGUAUACUGCUUAUCUUGAGCCACUUAGGGGCUACCGGAACAAAUGGUGGAGCGGUGAAAUGCGUAGAUAUCAAGAGGAACACCUGCGGCGAAGGCGGGUUGCUGGGCCGACACUGACGCUGAGGCGCGAAAGCUAGGGGAGCGAACGGG